UGAUGUACCUGCCUUCAGGCUAAUUUCUAAG
RNAcentral lists this non-coding RNA (31 nucleotides) under Mus musculus (house mouse). Lineage: Eukaryota; Metazoa; Chordata; Mammalia; Rodentia; Muridae. The record is from RNAcentral.